Molecule: non-coding RNA, 3128 nt
Organism: Physcomitrium patens
Lineage: Eukaryota; Viridiplantae; Streptophyta; Bryopsida; Funariales; Funariaceae
Source: RefSeq, a predicted model, not a curated record
UGAAUCCAUGCUUCACCUUCAGUCCCACGUUCUAGAACUCCCAAUUGCACACAGUUUCAUAAAAGCUUCACAUCAUACUGUGAAGGGUGUGUUUUCACAAUGCCAGGCAGCUCACCGGUCACAUUUCUUAGUGCAGAAUGAAUGCAGUAUUGUGUUGGCUUUUGUGUUACAAACUCUCGAAACACAAUCCUGCAACAAUGGUUGGGUGAUGAAAACCCUAAAGCUCCUCUUUCCACCCCAUUCCCCUCCUCAAAUUCCAUGAAUCUUGCACUACCAAGUUGCAGAACCUUAAAUCCUAAUUCCUCAGUUGUUUGCAGUUUGAGAGCUCAGUGUGAUGGGAUGCCUGGUGAGGAAGCUCUCUUUCAUGUUUGCAACUCUCGUUUGCUUUCAAGACAUUCUCCAUUUCGAGACACAUUUUUGAUUGCACAUGCUCUUGUACCCUCCAUAGCCUGCCAAAGCCAAACCGGCGUCAGAUUUCGUAGGCUACUUGGAUUGCGGAACAGGGGGAAGGAUUUGUCAGGUGUGUGGGUACUUAGCCAUGCGUCACACAAGCUGUAUAUAUGAGUAUUAUAUGCCUGUUGCCGAUGUCUCCACUUUGGUCUCUGUGUGCGAAUGCCUUUGCAAAUUGUUUGAGCUUCGUUUCUGAGCAGUUGUCUGCAGGUUAGGCUUUUUGGGUUCAGUGCUGAAGUUGGAGUCAUUUGUGAACCACCACCUACCUGUGUCUGGGAUCGUUGCAAAUGAACAUGGUUCUAGGCGUAAGUUGUCGAUUGUGGAGGAAUGGCUCGAAUGGAUGACGUGUGUGGCAUGAGGUUUCGCAUUCUUCUGUGUGGUAGUUGAUACAUGUGCAGCGUCGAAGAUGAAUGCAAGGUUGGGUCCCACCCGCUGCGUAGCUGAGUUUAUGCACCUGGUCGCUCCUCGUGGGCAUGAGCAUCUUCUGUUCUGGUAGGUCUUCUAUGUUGUGCUGUCUCCGGCUCAUAUUGAUGUUGCGCUGCGAUUGUGGUGUGGGUUCCGAGACUUCAGAAAUGAGGGGUGUUUAAUGUUGUACGUUGAGACAGAUUCUUUAGUGGUUAAAUUAUUUUUCAGAUAUCGAAUAAUCUCAAGACCUUAAGCUAAAAGCUACCAAAAAGAGGUUGUAGACAUGUUGUGGCGAUUUUUAGACAUAGAGGGGCUUGUACUAGUUUGGUGUUGGUUUUUAAACUUCGUGCCUGUAAUCCAAGCCGCUUGUACUGGUCACUGUAACUCCACCUACCCUUUUUCUCUCCAAUUUACCUUAAUUUAAUUUUCUCCUGAAGUCGGUGUACAAGGAGCAUGAAAAGUAGGCGUAUAGUCUGUGUAAUCACGCAACACUGGUUCGCUAAGUUUUCGAUCCUACGAACUUUAUUCAUGAAUCCUACCACAAAUGAUGCAGUUGAAUUCUUUUCAUCGGUAUUUCAUGCAUCUUCGUGGGCUGGAGACCUAUGUUUUAGCUCGAUUUUGUGGCAAAAUAGAUCAAUCCGACAGUUAGGAAGGGGGAGAUUAGGGACUGGAGCAGUGCACAACACGCGACCGGUAACAACAGAGUUUCGUACAUUGGAGGUCCAUUCUCUUUGAGUCACUUCUAACUAAAGGAAUUUUCGAUUAUAUUGUAACUUGAGGAUAUUGGUAAUUUCUAUCUGUCACCCAAUAUGCUGAAUCUGCAAAUGGGACUGUAUUAACUCCACCUUCAAGAGCUCAUUGCCAGAUGAGAACGAGAGAGCGGUACCAUUCAAUUAUUCAGAGCUUGAAUAAUUACCAGAAGAAAAACCCAGAGUAUAAUGACCAUCCAAACCCUUGGAAGGAGAUGAUGGAGCUCAUGUACAGCAAAAAUCAAUUGGGUGUUCAGAAGCAGGGCCUACAAGGCUGGAUAGUGACCUUUUAGAUUGUUCUUUUGGGGAGGACGAUCCUUCGGUGAAACGAAAAUUGUGUAUAUUAUGGACACGUUAGACGGGAUUCAGUACAGCCUGUAUAUUGGUGCGUUUAGAGAGUUCAACGCAGGCACCAGCAUUCGGGCUAUUUUGGCUACUUUGGUGGUGGUAUCAGAAAAUGAGGAGCACUCUCCGUUUGCAGCGAAAGGAAGUUUCCAGUUUUACUUUAAGAAUUAAAGCCAUUCUUGUCAUCAGUCGUACGAUCUCAGUAUCUGGUCGGUGCAGCAGUUGUGUAGACACAGUAGCAGAAUUUUGAGAGCCUGCGGAAGAAACAAACAACCGUGAAAGAUGGAGAGGUGCUCUACUUGGCAGAUACUUUACAAUCACUUCUAAUUACCUUCUUUCAUAUUUCGAGAGCUGCUCCAUGUUUCCUUGGAACCCCGAAACAUGAUUGACGGAGGGCCGUUUCAGAAUAACUCGAGUAUACUGUUUCACUUUCUGACGUCAAGUGUUGAACUUCAAGAACCAAAGAUUGGUUGCGACAAUCCAUGGAUUCGCUGACAACGACACUUUUCCAUACACAACAACUCAACUACGUUCUGACCAGAAGAAUAACCUGGACAAGUCGAAGAAACGGGGGAAAGUCAGACCAAUUGCGGCCUCUGAUGAGCAUCAUGAAGAGCCAAGACGCACAGAUUCUCAAGUUUUUUUUCAGUCCUAAUCAGACAUCGAUUAUAACCCUUCAGGAUAGCACAUCCUUAAUCUAAACCACGUACUUGAACUGAACCAUAGUUACGUGCAGAGAUUUAGAUCUGUUAGAGUUUAGUAGACUCUCCUACGACUUGCUGAACUUGAGUCGAAGGCACAUUUGUCAACAGAUUGUCUUCUCGACAUUCGCUGUGAUGUUUCCGGAUCUAAACAAAAGAAGAGGUCGUGAUUUUGUCCACAUGGUGGAACAUGGACUACCUGCCACGGUUGCGCUGAAAACCAUCUCCGGGUAAAGAUUAAGUUCCUAGUUAAUUCCUAAUGUCAUGUACAUGGUGUUGCAUUCCCUACCCGCGUGUCAUCUCUACCAGCUGUGGUUCGGGUGGAUAACAUUAAAACAGUAUCCAAUACAGAAGUUAAAGUGAGCUGAUUUCUUCCUUCUUCAAUAAUGCUCUUCGGACUCUCCGAAACAGUGAAGUUUCGUUGUAAUUUCCAUACAGAUCAAUGUUGAAAGCUUCGAUGGCAUUAGCUUUACCAUUU